This 465-nucleotide ribosomal RNA is filed under the name uncultured Klebsiella sp. RNAcentral describes it as "bacterial SSU rRNA". It matches the Rfam family "Bacterial small subunit ribosomal RNA", at positions 338 to 795 of the family's 1533-position model. Lineage: Bacteria; Pseudomonadati; Pseudomonadota; Gammaproteobacteria; Enterobacterales; Enterobacteriaceae. The record is from RNAcentral.
CCUACGGGUGGCUGCAGUGGGGAAUAUUGCACAAUGGGCGCAAGCCUGAUGCAGCCAUGCCGCGUGUGUGAAGAAGGCCUUCGGGUUGUAAAGCACUUUCAGCGGGGAGGAAGGCGUUAAGGUUAAUAACCUUGGCGAUUGACGUUACCCGCAGAAGAAGCACCGGCUAACUCCGUGCCAGCAGCCGCGGUAAUACGGAGGGUGCAAGCGUUAAUCGGAAUUACUGGGCGUAAAGCGCACGCAGGCGGUCUGUCAAGUCGGAUGUGAAAUCCCCGGGCUCAACCUGGGAACUGCAUUCGAAACUGGCAGGCUAGAGUCUUGUAGAGGGGGGUAGAAUUCCAGGUGUAGCGGUGAAAUGCGUAGAGAUCUGGAGGAAUACCGGUGGCGGAGGCGGCCCCCUGGACAGAGACUGACGCUCAGGUGCGAAAGCGUGGGGAGCAAACAGGAUUAGAUACCCGAGUAGUC